RNAcentral lists this non-coding RNA (57 nucleotides) under uncultured eukaryote. The record is from RNAcentral.
UAAAAGGAAAAAAAGGAGGAAAAAAGAAAGGAAGAAAGGAAAGAAAAGAAAGAUUUG